RNAcentral lists this ribosomal RNA (460 nucleotides) under uncultured bacterium. Its description in RNAcentral is "bacterial SSU rRNA". It matches the Rfam family "Bacterial small subunit ribosomal RNA", at positions 29 to 506 of the family's 1533-position model. The record is from RNAcentral.
AUAAACGCUGGCGGCGUGCAUAAAACAUGUAAGUCGAACGGGUGGAGGCCGCAAGGCCGAAGCCAGUGGCGGACGGCUGAGUAACGCGUAGGUGACUUGCCCAAAAGUGGGGAAUAACGAUUCGAAAGAAUCGCUAAUACCGCAUGUGGUUGUGCGUAUAAUCGCGUGCAACUAAAGCCCGCAAGGGCGCUUAUGGAGAGGCCUGCGUCCGAUUAGCUAGUUGGUGGGGUAACGGCCUACCAAGGCUCCGAUCGGUAGCUGAUCUGAGAGGAUGAUCAGCCAGACUGGGACUGAGACACGGCCCAGACUCCUACGGGAGGCAGCAGUUAGGAAUUUUGCACAAUGGGGGAAACCCUGAUGCAGCAACGCCGCGUGGAUGAAGAAGGCCUUCGGGUCGUAAAAUCCUUUUCAACGGGAAGACACGGACGGUACCGUUGGAAUAAGCAUCGGCUAACUACGU